Molecule: long non-coding RNA, 302 nt
Filed under: Mytilus galloprovincialis (Mediterranean mussel)
Lineage: Eukaryota; Metazoa; Mollusca; Bivalvia; Mytilida; Mytilidae
Source: RNAcentral
GUCUGGAUUUGCCCCUGACCCCACCCAGUAUUUAAAUUAAAUUAUGCGUCAGAUAUAUAAAAGGAUACAUGUAAAGGUCGGCUUCUUUCUGUAAUAUUUUGCCGUCUCUGUUCUUCCAAGUAGUAUUGCUUAAUAAAUGUAACUGAAAUCUGCAUGGAAUCUGUGUACUAUCAAAACUAGCAGCUCCAUUUAAUCAUUCAAUCCAAUCCUUAAAGUAUCAAAAAAUCCACAAAGAAUCAAUUGUUCUAGACGUUUUAAAGCAAUAAAUUCAAUAGAAAUAUUGUUGCCUGUUUAUACAGAAC